AGUAUUAUAUAUUUUUUAAAGAGCCUAUAGCUCAGUUGGUUAGAGCACACGCCUGAUAAGCGUGAGGUCGGUGGUUCAAGUCCAUUUAGGCUCACCAAUAUAAAUAUAUUAAUAUA
Molecule: transfer RNA, 116 nt
Filed under: Stylosanthes little leaf phytoplasma
Lineage: Bacteria; Bacillati; Mycoplasmatota; Mollicutes; Acholeplasmatales; Acholeplasmataceae
Description: transfer RNA-Ile
Rfam family: tRNA (bases 21-94)
About the family: Transfer RNA (tRNA) molecules are approximately 80 nucleotides in length. Their secondary structure includes four short double-helical elements and three loops (D, anti-codon, and T loops). Further hydrogen bonds mediate the characteristic L-shaped molecular structure. tRNAs have two regions of fundamental functional importance: the anti-codon, which is responsible for specific mRNA codon recognition, and the 3' end, to which the tRNAs corresponding amino acid is attached (by aminoacyl-tRNA synthetases). tRNAs cope with the degeneracy of the genetic code in two manners: having more than one tRNA (with a specific anti-codon) for a particular amino acid; and 'wobble' base-pairing, i.e. permitting non-standard base-pairing at the 3rd anti-codon position.
Source: RNAcentral